UUAACAUUUGGGUACGGGAGAUCAAUCAAGGUUUGACAGGCAUGGAUCCGGAUCGCAGUAGAAGUAAUUAAAUGCUUUGGUGCACAUAUGUCCUACUGGCUGGGAGAAUACAGAGUAUGUCCUUGGUGUACAUUCAGAGAUGGAGCUAGUACUGGUACUCAGAUCAGUCAUCAAGAGGAGAACAGUACAAGAAAUGGAGGUACAGAGUAAUUAAAGAUUGUUGGGCACAUGAUCAUUGCCUGCCCAAGAACCGAAAGCAUACAAGAGGCCGGCAAAAGAAAGAUUCAGAGUAGAUAUCUGUUAGCAUCAUCAGCUCAUUCCAAGCAAUCCUGAUCAGGUGACCUCCCCCUGAAAGAUGCCUCCAGAUAACAAUAAGCCUUUUGAGAAAGCUAGCCAGCAAUCAAAAGCAAAUAGUGGUCAGUUUAGUGUUAAUUAGCAGCAAUAAUCUGCUUUGCUUGCCUUGGCCUACACACACAUCAAAGCAGCCAGCACGCUCUGAAUUGGACUCAAGUAUCGUGUCGUAGCAGUGAGUGUAUCUGUCGAUCUGUGUGUGCAGCUGAAA
This 562-nucleotide long non-coding RNA is filed under the name Oryza brachyantha (malo sina). RNAcentral's name for it is "long non-coding RNA (OBRA_LNC002750)". The record is from RNAcentral. Lineage: Eukaryota; Viridiplantae; Streptophyta; Magnoliopsida; Poales; Poaceae.